Molecule: ribosomal RNA, 253 nt
Filed under: uncultured bacterium
Lineage: Bacteria
Description: partial 16S ribosomal RNA
Rfam family: Bacterial small subunit ribosomal RNA
Source: RNAcentral
UACAGAGGCCCCAAGCGUUAGGCGGAAUCACUGGGCUUAAAGGGUGCGUAGGCGGUCUAUUAAGUCAGCGGUGAAAUACUCCAGCUUAACUGGAGGGGUGCCAUUGAUACUGAUGGACUUGAGUCAAGUCGAGGUAGGCGGAAUUGACGGUGUAGCGGUGAAAUGCUUAGAUAUCGUCAAGAACACCAAUAGUGAAGACAGCUUACUGGGCUUAAACUGACGCUGAGGCACGAAAGUGUGGGGAUCAAACAGG